AAUCAACGCUGGCGGCGUGCCUAACACAUGCAAGUCGAACGCGAAAGGGGACUUCGGUUCCUGAGUAGAGUGGCGUACGGGUGAGUAACGCGUGGGUCAUCUGCCCUCGGGUGGGGAAUAACUAAUCGAAAGGUUAGCUAAUACCGCAUAACACAGUGAUGUCAAAGCAGCAAUGUGCCUGAGGAGGAGCCUGCGUCUGAUUAGGUAGUUGGUGGGGUAACGGCCUACCAAGCCUGCGAUCAGUAGCUGGUCUGAGAGGAUGAUCAGCCACACUGGGACUGAGACACGGCCCAGACUCCUACGGGAGGCAGCAGUGGGGAGUAUUGGACAAUGGGGGCAACCCUGAUCCAGCAAUGCCGCGUGAGUGAUGAAGGCCUUAGGGUUAGUAAAGCUCGUUUCGGCGGGGAAGAUGAUGGACGGUACCCGCAGAAGAACGCCCGGCUAACUUCGUGCCAGCCGCCGCGGUAAG
This 469-nucleotide ribosomal RNA is filed under the name uncultured bacterium. Its description in RNAcentral is "bacterial SSU rRNA". It matches the Rfam family "Bacterial small subunit ribosomal RNA", at positions 32 to 524 of the family's 1533-position model. The record is from RNAcentral.